GAGAGUUAAAUAGUACGUGAAAUUGUUGAAAGGGAAACGAUUGAAGUCAGUCAUGCUAGUGAAAAAUCAGUUUGACGGGUUUUGAGUUCAGGAGUAGAGGCAGGGUCAAACCGUUUCUCCUUUGGACUUGGGAUUUGUUAGAUGUACUUUUUCUUUGGCAGGUCAGCGUCGAUUUCGGAGGUUGUAAAAUACUUGGGGGAAAGUAACUCUGCUUCGGGAGAGUAUUAUAGACCCUGGGGGAUGCAGCCUGCGGGAUCGAGGAUUGCAGCAAAUGCCUUUGGCUUGUCGCCUGAUCUCUGGAUGUUACCUCGCUUGUGACAACAUUCUUGCCACCUGUGGGUACUAAUGCCCAUUAGGUUAGAGCGAUCAAAAAUUUUGCUAAGGAUGCUGACGUAAUGGCUUUAAACGA
Molecule: ribosomal RNA, 409 nt
Filed under: uncultured Diversispora
Lineage: Eukaryota; Fungi; Glomeromycota; Glomeromycetes; Diversisporales; Diversisporaceae
Description: partial 28S ribosomal RNA
Source: RNAcentral